RNAcentral lists this ribosomal RNA (377 nucleotides) under uncultured bacterium. RNAcentral's name for it is "bacterial SSU rRNA". It matches the Rfam family "Bacterial small subunit ribosomal RNA", at positions 521 to 896 of the family's 1533-position model. The record is from RNAcentral.
UAAGACGGAGGAUGCAAGCGUUAUCCGGAAUUAUUGGGCGUAAAGCGUCCGCAGGUGGCCUAUCAAGUCUGCUGUCAAAGACCGGGGCUUAACCCCAGAAAGGCAGUGGAAACUGAAAGGCUAGAGGAUGGUAGGGGCAGAGGGAAUUCCCAGUGUAGCGGUGAAAUGCGUAGAGAUUGGGAAGAACACCGGUGGCGAAAGCGCUCUGCUGGGCCAUAACUGACACUCAGGGACGAAAGCUAGGGGAGCGAAUGGGAUUAGAUACCCCAGUAGUCCUAGCCGUAAACAAUGGAUACUAGGUGUAGCCUGUAUCGACCCGGGCUGUGCCGUAGCCAACGCGUUAAGUAUCCCGCCUGGGGAGUACGCACGCAAGUGUG